CAAUGCUGACGAGUACCAAACAGGACGAAACAGCUGUCCAGUGC
Molecule: non-coding RNA, 44 nt
Filed under: Echinostoma caproni
Lineage: Eukaryota; Metazoa; Platyhelminthes; Trematoda; Plagiorchiida; Echinostomatidae
Source: RNAcentral